This is a long non-coding RNA of Acinonyx jubatus (cheetah), 5807 nucleotides long. RefSeq lists it as uncharacterized. The transcript is spliced from 6 exons. Lineage: Eukaryota; Metazoa; Chordata; Mammalia; Carnivora; Felidae. The record is from RefSeq and is a predicted model, not a curated record.
UCUCGUUCCCUCCCCCGUCCCCCUUCGCGACGGCUGACGCACCCUGGGGCGGCGCCGGCGCAGCUGGAACUUCCAUAUACACCUUCCCGGUCUGCCAGUUUUCACCCUUCCGGCAGACGCAGGGCGGAGGAUCGCAGUCGCUUCCCCCUAAGGGAGCGAGCGCCCGGAUUCCUUAUCCAUUUUCGGAUCCCCGAUUCUACAUUCCUCCCCGUUUGCGUAGGAUGUUUUUUGUGUUUUUUUUUCCCUCCCCCUCCAAAUUUCCGGAUUACAGACCUUGGCUCGUCUAUGGUUUCCUCGGUUUACUGGUUUCACAGAUCUAACCGGUGUUGGAAAUUGCUGGCACGCUCUUCGAGAAUUUCACAGCCUGUCUAGGUGUGGAUAUGGAGAACUCUGCCCAUCCUUGUGGUGCUGGGAGCUCAGUGUAUCUGCAGCCUGGCUCUCCCUGCAGUAGCAGACAUUCAGGACAACAUAUAUUCCGCAGGGUUAUUGUAAAGCUCCUCCUGGGUGCUAUGUGGUCAAUGAGAUGGGCCACAACCUGCAAGCUGAUGGGGUAAGCCAUCUCCCUCAGUGCUUAGAGUUCCACAGUGAACGCUGACUAACCAGAAUGCCCCCAGCUUUACACCUUUUCUCCUCCUCUCCCCAUCACUCUUCAUCUGUGCUGGGCCCUCCAUGGCACUGCCUUUGAAGUUUGUUUACCCCCAUGGACUGCUGAGGAUGUCAGCUGGUUCUUGUGCAUCAGAAACCCUAAAGCCAGGCCCAGCAGAAGAUCUCCCAAAGGUGCUGAUGGUCAUCUUAACAUCAGUCUUCGAAUAGCAGUGGUUAGUUAUGUGAAGACCCCUCAAGACCUGGGCUUUACACACCACAGUCCUAGUAAGCAAUAGCAUCUAUUCUUAUACAAAGGAAGUCCAUACUGGGAGACUCUAAGAGCCCUGUCCAAAGCCACACUGGGGAACAUAGCAGCUGGGAUCCAAGCCCUGUUCUUUUAUGCCCUUUACACCAAAGGCUAUGCUUCCCAUAGCCACUAAAUUUUCCUCAUACGUGCCAGUGUGCCAUACCCCUGCCUGUUAGUCUUUCCCAACAUCUUCACCUGAUACCCCUUCCUCAUCCAGCUCUUAGCUUCUGUGUCCUCUCCUCAGAACUGUCUUCCUGAGCAGUUCUCAACUAGUAUUGCCCACCCACGCCUCCUCCCACUAGCAUAUUCCAUUGUUUCAUUUUUCUUCACAGCACUGACUGCUAUCUCAAAAUAUCUGUUUCGUAAAUUAUCACCUUUCUACCUUUUCUACAGCAGCAUUGCCCAUUGGAGCUCUCUUUAAGGAAAUGUAGAUCUACACUGUCCAACAUAGUAGCCAUUAGCUGCAGCUGACCAAUGACCAUCUGAAAGAUGGCCGUGACUAAGGAACUAAACUGAAUCUGUCAACAUUCCAGCCUUGUCCUGUAAUUGAACUGCUCGUGUUCCAUCGAAAUGGCCUUUUAACAGGAAGUUGGAAGAUACUCACUGCCCAGGUCAGUAAUAAUAAGUAGCUGGCCACUUUGUUCUGAAAAAUUUUUAUAAAUUAUUUUAACAUUUUUCCUAGGACCAAUUUUGACAACCUUCCACUUUUCCCGAAAUCUUUCCAUUUUGUUGUUUGUUAAUUUCUGGGCAUCUAGGCUGUGUCAGGAACUGGUAACACAGCAGGAAGGAGGUAGCAGUUUCCUUCUCAGGAGGCUGUCACAGCCUGUCAGUAUCUACAUUCAGUGAUUACCACGUGACACACAUAUUUGAACUUGUAUGUAUAUUUUUUUAAAAAUGAUAUUAUGUGCAUCUGCUUAUCUUUAUACGUGUUAAAGAUAUAUAUUUAAGAAAUACACGUAUCUUGGAGACUUUCAUAUCAGUACAUGGAGCUGGCUCAUGCAUUGUUACUGUUGUACAAAGUUCUAUAAUGAAAAUUACAUGUGUUGCUGAAUAUGUGUGUAGUGUUAUUUCCCUGUAUAAGUUUUUAGCUUGCCUUUGAUUUAUUCUGUUUAAUCAAAGUUGGUUUUGAAUUUUUGUCUUUCCAGAAAAUUAGUUCCUGGGUUCUUUUUUUCUUCUCCAUUUGAUUCAUUUAUUUGUGUUGUAUUUAUCUUUUCUGUUUCCUUAGGACUUUGAGUCAAAUGUGUAGUUCAUUUGUUUUCCUUAUUUAAUUAAUAGUGAGGGCAUUUUCAGGUCUUGAAAUUACCCUAGGUAUUAUAUUUGGACACCAGGCAGAACGGUUUCUAGAUAGAAGGAUCAAGAUUACAUGGGUCCUAAUGAGCAAAUACGUGGAGGGUCACAGAAUGUAUUCUUGAAUAAAGGUUUACACAGUGUUACCACACUCUGCUAGGCUGGAUUCCUGCCAAAAUGUUUUGAUAGUCACUCAAGAUUCUAAACUCUUGACUCACUCCCUAGGAUGUCAGCCUUUCAGAGUUCUUAAUAGCACUAUAUAUCUCAAGAUUGCCCCUUAUCAUCCCUUACCUACCCUCUUGUCUCAAAGCCUGGCCUUGUCUUCAUAGUCUCCUCUUUGAAGACAUCCUCUUGGUUUUUUUUACAAUUUCUUCAAUCAUUUAUUCACUCAACAGUUUCCUGAGCUAGAGAUGGAGUCAUUGUCUUAGCAACUGGGGAUAUAUAUGGGAAACUGAAAUAAAGACACCUGCUCUCUUGUUUAAUAUUUGUUCUAGGUGUUCAGUCAGAUAACAGAACAAGUUGGAAAAGACCUCUUUUUCUGUAUUUGUAUACAUAUGUGAUCAAAAUUUUAUUUAGAACUUGCCUUCUGUAUGACUUAUCUGGUAUAAAAAUAGGAUGAGACAUUUCAUUUUUAUUAUUCAGUGUGGUUCUCUCCAGUGUAAGUUUUCUGUUUUGUUGUUCUGUCAAAUAAGGUGGGAGCUAAGGCUAAUGAUUUGCCUGCACGGAUUACAUUGAGGAUCUGCUCUCAUAGGAGUCCUCUGAUGUUGAAUACAAUGAGGACUCCUACUGAAGGGCUUCUUGACAGUGGGUUCUGUGACUCCUGAAGCCUUCCUAAGACCCGAUUACAUUCUCAUGAUCCUGAGUAAGAGAGCUGUGCUUGAAAGAAACCUUUUCACACGGUCAUAGUCCCUUGGCUUUGGCCUUCUCAUAGCAUGACAGGUUCAUCUGGACCAACUACGCAAGACUGCAGAGGAUUAACCUGAGCAGAUUAACAGCAACCACUACAGUGAAAGCCCAACAGCACUCAGAAGGCCUGACAUAGCACAGUGAAGCGAGAUCCCUCUUUGUACACUUGCGCCAAAACUCGACUAGACCAGUUCUGCAUCAAGGAAUUCUAAAUGCAAUCAUGCAAACAGGAUUUUCUUAAUGAACCCCUGACAAACUGAUGUCAAGCACUCAUCUUGCAAACCAGGUGGGUGAAAAUAGUUCAUAGUUUUUUUUUUUGUUUGUUUUUUUGGUUUUUUUUAGAAAUAAUGAGAGGACCUAUCAUUUAUCCAAGUUAUAAAACUACCAUAUGUACAGCAGUAUGUGUACUCAGACUAAGAUCAACGAAGCAGAAGGGACCAAGACCAAAGCCUAUGCCCAAUAAGUACCAUGGAAAUUUAGUCUGUAAUAAGGAUGGUGUUUCCAAUAAGCAGAAGAAUCUAGUCAAAAUUUGUUGAAAGAACAUAUGCUCCAUACCAUAAUACACAAAGAAACUCCAGAUAAGUGCAACAAUCAGACAAAAACAAACAAACAAAAAACCCUGAAAUACAAGAAAGUAUGAAAUCUGCCUAUCUAUGAAUGGGAUAGGAAUAAAAACAGAUCUGAAAGGAAAAAUACCUAAAUUAUAUAACUUCUUUAUGAAAACUAAAUUUAAAGGUAGAAGAUAAAUGGGGGCGCCUGGGUGGCUCAGUCAGUUAGGCAUCCGACUUCAGCUCAGGUCAUGAUCUCACGGUUCGUGAGUUCAAGCCCCACAUUGAUCUCCGUGCUGACAGCUCAGAGCCUGGAACCUGCUUUGGAUUCUGUGUCUGCCUCUCUCUCUGCCCCUCCUCCGCUUGUGCUCUCUCAAAAAUAAAUAAAUAUUAAAAAAAAUUAAAGGUAGAAGAUAAAUGUUGGUCUGGGAUAUUUGUAGUAUCAAUACCCAUAAUUAAUACAGAGUUCCCAGAAAGAAGAAAAAAAAAGGGGAAAGUAUAUAAAUUCACCAAAGUACAAAUGGUCCAUAAACAUAAAAAUAUGUGUAAGCUUCAUGAGGGAAAUGUCAACAAACUAAACAUAGUAUCAGAUCUGCCAACCUUAAAAAGAUCAUUAAAAAUCACUGGCAAUGAAGGGGAAAAAGCUUUCAUGUAAUUGAGCAGCUAUAUGUAUUUUUCAGAGAGCAAUCUGUUGCUACCAGAUUUUUAGCUUCUAUCUUGGUUGAUUCUAAAAUUCUAUUUUAAGAAAUCCUACCUGCAAAAACAAAAACAAAAAACACCCCAACUUGAAUAUGCAACAACAACAAAAAAUAUGCAAUAAUGUUUUUUGCAACAACCUGAAAGACUAUCAAGAGGAAACAUCAAAUGUGGACUACAUAGCAUCUGUUAAAAUGGAUACAACAGGCCUGUUUGUAUCCAGUAGAACACCCCCAAGUCAUAAACAUAUUCAUAUACACACAUGAAAACAUCUAUAAAAAAAAGUCUGGCCAGAUGCACCAGUUACUGGUGAUCACAUGAAGGAAGAGUAGUAGAGCAGAGGAGCCCCUAACAGUCAACUGGCCACUGGUAACAAAUUCUCAUUAAACCAAGUAGUAUGCCCCUGACUCAGACCAGAGGAAGAAACAGUCUGAUUCAGCAUGUCUGAGCUAGUCAUCACAGCACCCCAUCUGGGGGUUUCCCCUGUCACCUUGUUUUCUAAGACACCAGUCCCUGACUAACCAGCCCAUUCCCUGCCAGGACUCCCAUGGGCCUGGGUCUCACCUGAAAAGGUGUCUUGAGGAAUUCCUCUCUCCACCGACCAGAGCGCUUCCUCCUCCUCUAACUGAGAUACCACAUCUGGCUUGGAAAGCUGAUGUUCUGCCCAAGGGAAAAGAGACAGGGCUUGGGGGUCUGUGUUCAGGAGAAAAUGCAUUCCUCCUGUGGCACAUGCUGUCCCUGAAUUCUUCCCUGCAAGGGCAUGACUUCUGGUCUACAGCAGUGAUGAUAAUGAAAUCCAUCCCCUUUGUCAGUUACUUGCCUUCCUGGACUCCCUUGCCAAUAAAAGUGGCAGUGGGACCCCAGUUCUGGCCAGCAAGACACAAAGGGAGAUCUGUCAGCUGGAGACGUUAGGGCCUUUUUUUUUUUCCUUGCUAAAUAAUGGCAGGUGUGAGAAGAGAACUAGCCAGGACUGCCCCUUCACUUUCUUUCUGCCCUGAACAUGGAUAUGAUGUUGGGUGCCUCAGCCAUGCAGACACUAACAUAAGCGUGGAAAAGUUCACACUAAGCACAGGGAAAUGGAAGGGAUCAGUCUUCAAUGAUACUUCUGAUCUGUUGGGACACUGACCCCACAUCCUCUGGAAUUGUUACAAAAAUGAACAUCUACUACUGUAGCUGGAAACAUUCCUGAUAGACCUACCUCCCUAGCAACUCAAGGCCUCUGAGGGAUGGACUAGGCAGCUUUAGAAGUCAUGUGAAGAUGCCCUUUCCCUACAGGUACAAAGUAAAGCCCUCUCCCUCAGACUCCAGGACCUUGACAAUUGCACUCUGAUCCCUGCAGCCUGAGCCAAAGCAGACACACACUUCAGAGGCACCACAUUCGUGCUGCAAAGCGCAGAUCUUUAUUGACAUGGAGGCCAUCCUUACCCACUGAGACCAGGUUCCUGUAGUUCUCCAACAUCACCUCCCUGUACAGGGAC